GAUAUAUAUACUUGACCAUCUUUUGUGAAAUAAAAAAAAUCAUGCAAAUCUAAUACCAUCUCUAAAAAGUAAUAGUUUAAAUCAAGUUGAACAAUUGCAACCUAUCCAGAAACUAAAUAGUGCUACAUUUUUUAUAAUUAAAUAGCUAUAGCCCAUAAAUAGUUUCCAAAAAGGAAUACAAAAAUCUUCAAAAAAGACUUACCAGCCUGCUAACAGCCAUUUAAACAUCAUUAUAAAAUGUAACAAGUGCUUUUAAAAUAAAAAGCAGUAACUCAACAGUGAAAAUCAGGUCAAUGACAUGUACAUAUGACAGACAUUUAUAACUUCGUAACAUUAUAUAUCUGCAUAAAAAAAAAUGUAAAAAAGCAUUCAAUUCUUUAACUUUAAAAUAACUAUAGGCUCUAAAGAGCCUGUGUUGUUGACCUUAGUCUAAGUGCAUAUUCUACAGAGGACACAUACUCUCCAACAUUGCUCUUGUCAGAUUAUCUCAAUUCAUUACAGUUAAUAACUAAAUAAUAGACAAAAUUGCAUUUUACACUGUGUUAUUUUUUUUACCAUGUCUGCCAUCUUCAUUGGCAGGCGGACGGGGUCAGAGUACAUAUUUUACAAAAAAAACACAUACUUCAAUUAUGAUUGUAGC
This 640-nucleotide long non-coding RNA is filed under the name Mytilus galloprovincialis (Mediterranean mussel). Lineage: Eukaryota; Metazoa; Mollusca; Bivalvia; Mytilida; Mytilidae. The record is from RNAcentral.